CUGUUUCGCUGACGAGUGGCGGACGGGUGAGUAACACGUAUCCAACCUGCCGAUGACUCGGGGAUAGCCUUUCGAAAGAAAGAUUAAUACCCGAUGGCAUAGUUCUUCCGCAUGGUGGAACUAUUAAAGAAUUUCGGUCAUCGAUGGGGAUGCGUUCCAUUAGGUUGUUGGCGGGGUAACGGCCCACCAAGCCUUCGAUGGAUAGGGGUUCUGAGAGGAAGGUCCCCCACAUUGGAACUGAGACACGGUCCAAACUCCUACGGGAGGCAGCAUG
Molecule: ribosomal RNA, 274 nt
Filed under: uncultured bacterium
Lineage: Bacteria
Description: partial 16S ribosomal RNA
Rfam family: Bacterial small subunit ribosomal RNA
Source: RNAcentral